UACGGGAGGGUGCGAGUACGUUAAGUACGGUAAUUACGUGGGACGUAAAGCGCAUGACGAGGUUGGUUUAGUUAAGUCAGAUGUAGAAACGGCCCGGGGCUACAACCGUACGGUAAUUGCUAUUUAGAAACGUGGACAAACUAGAGUACUGUAGGAGGGGGUAGAAUUUCAGGUGUAGCGGUGAAAUGCGUAGAGAUCUGAAGGAAUACCGGUGGCGAAGGCGGCCCCCUGGACAGAUACUGACACUCAGAUGCGAAAGCGUGGGGAGCAAACAGGAUUAGAUACCCUGGUAG
RNAcentral lists this ribosomal RNA (293 nucleotides) under uncultured bacterium. RNAcentral's name for it is "partial 16S ribosomal RNA". The stretch from base 41 to 293 matches the Rfam family "Bacterial small subunit ribosomal RNA", at positions 556 to 793 of the family's 1533-position model. The record is from RNAcentral.